RNAcentral lists this ribosomal RNA (468 nucleotides) under uncultured bacterium. RNAcentral describes it as "partial 16S ribosomal RNA". It matches the Rfam family "Bacterial small subunit ribosomal RNA", at positions 28 to 507 of the family's 1533-position model. The record is from RNAcentral.
GACGAACGCUGGCGGCGUGCUUAACACAUGCAAGUCGAACGGAAAGGCCCUGCUUUUGUGGGGUGCUCGAGUGGCGAACGGGUGAGUAACACGUGAGUAACCUGCCCUUGACUUUGGGAUAACUUCAGGAAACUGGGGCUAAUACCGGAUAGGAGCUCCUGCUGCAUGGUGGGGGUUGGAAAGUUUCGGCGGUUGGGGAUGGACUCGCGGCUUAUCAGCUUGUUGGUGGGGUAGUGGCUUACCAAGGCAUUGACGGGUAGCCGGCCUGAGAGGGUGACCGGCCACAUUGGGACUGAGAUACGGCGCAGACUCCUACGGGAGGCAGCAGUGGAGAAUAUUGCACAAUGGGCGGAAGCCUGAUGCAGCAACGCCGCGUGCGGGAUGACGGCCUUCGGGUUGUAAACCGCUUUCGCCUGUGACGAAGCGUGAGUGACGGUAAUGGGUAAAGAAGCACCGGCUAACUACGUG